Molecule: long non-coding RNA, 3789 nt
Organism: Chenopodium quinoa (quinoa)
Lineage: Eukaryota; Viridiplantae; Streptophyta; Magnoliopsida; Caryophyllales; Amaranthaceae
Exons: 2
Source: RefSeq, a predicted model, not a curated record
GGGCCCCAAAAAUAAAAGCCCAAACAAUUGUAAUGGCCUAAAUUUUUUAAAUCAAUUCAAUUAAUAAAUUGUAAGGUGAUAUAACCGUUUUUUUUAUUAGGUUUUAAUGGCUUUAAUACUUUCUCUCUCAUCCUUUUAAUAUGCUAUUCAUUCAACUUUGUUUCUCACGCUCAUUUGUCCCAAUUUAUCUCUUAAAAGUCCAGAUUAUCUUUCCCCUAUUAGUCCUAUAAUUUUUCUUGUUCUUCCCUAAAUUUGACUCUAAACCAAAUUUAAUUUUUAUCAAGCAAUUUAAUUAAUUUCCCCUCUUUUCCAUGAAACUUCAAUUAGUUAUGGGAAUUCAAAUUGUUUUCCCCAUGUUUAGAUCAAUCUAUCUAAGCAACGGGAAUUAUAAUUCAAUUAUCAAUAUCUCAAGAAAAUUUGGAGUAACGAUUGAAUCUCUCCCAUCUUCCCCCUAUUUAUAUCAUCCGAAAUUUUUGAUAUUUUGUAUCAAAAAAAAAUAUUAUUCAAUUACAUGUUGCCGACAUUGGAAAUUUGGGGUAAAACAAUACUACUCUUAAAUUGGUUUCAUCUCUACUGCAAAUCUUCAAGACUGCAUUCUUGCUGCAAUCUGUAAGUUGAAUUAUGAAAGGAUUUAUGAUGGCACUUUGAGGAUGGAUUUUCUUUUUAUAUUGUUCAAAGUUGUCGCCUUCCGAUAGUUUUGAAUCCCAGGUUUAUUCAAUCUUUUUUUGGCCUUAAGGUACAUGUUUAUAUUAUUUACUUUUUAUUAGCUAUAAUUUGCAAUUAUGGCUCUUAAGAUUAGAAAAUAUGUUUACGGAUAUGAUAAGCGUAAUAAAAAGAAAAACCUGAAGAGUUCAUUGAGUCUCAAAGAGGGGCCGUUGAUAAGUUUAUUGUAAAAGAGCCACAAGUUUCUACUGUCAAUCCAAAUAAUGUGGGUGUAAAUGUUGAAAAUGAUAGUAUUGGUGGCCUUGAUGCUAAAAUUGAUAUUUAAUGUGUCGGAUGAUAAUUUUGAUGAUAUGACUAUUGAUUGUGCUGAUGAACGGCCAAGUAAAAAUGUUAAUGUUAGUGGUGAUGUGCCUAUUGAUUGUAAUGAUGAUGUGUCGGAUGUUAAUGAAAAUGAUAACACUAAUGUUGAUGACAGUGAUGAUAAUUUUGAUGACAUCCCUAUUCAUUUGCUUGAUAUAUAUGAUCCAAGAGUUUGGGAUGGUUUAGAUUCCAAAAUGUUCAAUUUUAAUAUUGUGAAAGGUCCUAAAGAUAAAUUUUCAAGACGAUUUACUGCUAAUUUGUAUAUUAAAGUGUUGUCAAAUGGUGAGAACUAUGAUAGGGGUUGACUUGUUUCUAAAGAGCUUGAUAGAGUCUUUUGUUUUUGCUGUAAAGUCUUUAAUUAAAAGGGAUUGGUAAAGGGCAAUUAACAAAUGAAAGUUUUGUUGAUUGGAGACAUAUAUACUUAAGGUUAAAAGAACAUGAGACAAACAUAGAUCAUGUUAAGGAUAUGACUACUUGGUAUGAGUUGCAUCUUAGGUUUCAAGAGAAUCAAACUAUUGAUAAGACGACUCAAAUGCUAAUUGAAUGAAAAAGAAAAAGACCAUUGGAAGAAAGUGUUGCAAAGAAUUGUUUUAAUUGUCAAAUUUCUUGCUCAGCAUAAUCUAGCCUUUCUUGGUUCAAUAGGAAACUAUACCAAAAAAGUAAUGGUAAUUUCUUGGGCUUGAUUGAAAUGUUGGCCGAGUUUGACUCAAUUAUUCAAGAACAUGUCAAGCGUAUUACUAAUAAUAAUAUUCAAUUUCAUUUUUUAGGUUAUACAAUUCAAAACGAGUUGAUACUUUUGCUUGGUUCUGCAAUAAAAAAUGAAAUCAUUAGAAAGAUAAAGCAAUCAAAAUAUUUCUUGAUAAUUCUUGAUUGUACUCCCGAUGUUAGCCAUCAAGAGCAAAUGUCAUUGAUACUAAGAUAUGUGAAUGUCUCUGCAUAUUUGCAUUGAGGAAUCUUUCUUAGGAUUUUUAAUGUAAAUAAUACAACUGGCCAAGGGCUUUUUGAUGUUUUACUAAAUGAAUUGAAAAUCUUGAUCUUGAUAUAAUGGAUGUGCGAGGACAAGGUUAUGAUAAUGGCCUUAAUAUGAAAGGAAAACAUCAAGGAGUUCAAAAGAAAUUUUUGGAUUUAUAUUCUAACGCUUUUUAUAAUUAUACUCCUUGUGGUUGUCAUAGUUUAAACUUGACAAUAUGUAAUAUGGCUAACACAUGUAGAAAAGAUAAAGACUUUUUUGGAGUCAACCAACGUAUAUAUACAAUUUUUGCAGCUUCUACUAAGAGGCGGCAAUUCUUGAAAGACAAUAUAAAAGGACUAACAGUUAAGUCUUUGUCAUCUACUCGUUGGGAAAGUCGUGUUGAAUGUGUUAAGGGUAUUAGAUUUCAAAUGUCAGAUAUAUGAGAAGGUUUACUUCAAGUGGCCGAUAAUAAUGAUAAGGAUUACAAUAUAAAAAGUGAGGCUAAAUCCUUAGCAAAUAAUGAGCUUGGUGAUUUUGAGUUUUUAAUUACAAUAGUAAUUUGGUCUGAAAUAUUAUGUGCAAUUAAAUUGGUAAGCAAGCUAUUAAAAUCAAAAGAUAUGCUUAUUGAUGUGGCUAUUAAAAAAAUAAGAGGGUUGAUUUUUCUUUUUUUUUUUUUUUUUUUUUUUUUGAGGGGUAUAGAGAAACUGGUAUUAAUGAUGCUUUGAAUAGUGCUAAAGAAAUUGCUAUUGAAAUGGAUAUUGAUCCUAUAUUUCCCUAAAAGCGUGAAAUUCGAAGAAAAAAACAUUUUGAUGAAAAUGCAUUUAAAUUUCAAACAAGAGGAUUCCAAACCUAAAUCAUCCAAUGACAUCAACUUUUGAGGAGUAAAUAAGAAACCAAAAAUACUUUCAUAUUCCUCAAAUUGCUCAAUGUUUUAUAACGAGAACUAAUAGCUUGAUCAACAAUGUAAAGAAAGUAAUCAAAUCUAAAUCCAGGUUCUUCAUCAAAUGUUCCUCUAUCUCUAGAAGAAUCAUUUAGAUUUGAUUACUUUCUUUACAUUGUAAAUCAAGCUUAGAUUGUAAAUCAAGCUAUUAGUUCUAUUUACAAAAGAUUGAGCAAUUUGAGGAAUAUGAAAGUAUUUUUGGUUUCUUAUUUACUCCUCAAAAGUUGAUGUCAUUGGAUGAUUUAAGUUUGGAAUCCUCUUGUUUGGAAUUUGAAAAUUAAAUGCACUUAUGUCUAAUUAACAAUAAGAUAUUGAUGGGAGUGAAUUAUGUGUGGAGUUGAAGCUGCUUAAAGAAAUUUUGCGUUAUGACAUAAAAGGAGCUAUUAAUAUUUUGAGGUUUUUGGAAUAUGUGGAUUGUUUUCCUAAUGUAACUAUUGCAUAUGGAAUUUUGUUAAUUAUUCCUGUGACAGUUGCAACUGCAGAAUAAAGUUUUUCAAAGUUGAAGCUAUUGAAGUCAUAUUUUCGUUCUACAAUGCUAAAGAAAGACUUGUUGGAUUUACGAUAAUAGCAAUUGAGAAUGACCUUCCAGAGAAAGUGAAAUAUGAAGACUUGAUUGAUGAUUUUGCCUCAAAGAGUGUUAGAAGAAUAUCACUUUUUAAAUAAACAGAAGUUAACAUAAGUUGAGUUGAUAUAACCUUUGAGUUGUAUUUAGUUGCUAUUAUCAACAUGAAUAAAAUAUCCGAAUUUGAUUUUGCGUAAUUGAAUAUACUACCUCAGUUAAUUAUUAUGUGCAACAAAGGGUAUUAUUUGUGAGACAUAAAAUAAUCCGUUGUUGCACAUAAUAAUUAACGGAGAUAGUAUUAUUGUUAUACUA